Long non-coding RNA from Esox lucius (northern pike), 1120 nucleotides. NCBI's taxonomy places the organism in Eukaryota, Metazoa, Chordata, Actinopteri, Esociformes, Esocidae. The record is from Ensembl.
AAUAAAUAAUAUCUUGCAUAAUUAUUAAUCUCUUGUUCCACUCUGUAACUGUUUGGUAAUUGCAUAUUUGAAAGUCAGCUGUUUAUUACCAUGUUAACGCCAAAAUGUGGCGUUGUUACACAGGAUCUACUAUCAACUCCAUGGUAAUACCAGUGUUGACACCAUCUUGAUUUAAUGAUUUAAAGCCAAGGACCUAGUCGUUCAAAUUCCUAUGUGACCACGUUUUUUCAUUUCACUUUAAUAUAUGGGCCAACUAGUUCAGAUAUACUGUGCCCCUUCACAAUUGUUGUUAAACGGUCCUAUUUAUAUCAGUAUGGUUUUAACACUGCUAUUACCUGUGCAGUUGAAGGUUGCAGCCCCAUGUAUUUAACAAGGUCAAAUUCGGUAUAUGAUAUAAAAAUGGUAAUUAACAGGUGACUUAUUUAGAAUGUGUUGUUACAAAUAUACAUAGUGGAACAAAAGCAAGUAAUUGUGUCUGAAGUGACACAUUCCUUGUUCAAAUUGAGUAAUAACUAAUUCCAUAUCACCACUUUGUUAAUAGUUAUUACUGUUAUUCACAUAGUAUUUAGGGCAAUUUAAGUGUUACCAAGUCUUCUUUUCAUAGGAGUAUUUGGUCUGAGGAAAACCGUGAUUUUGUUAUUGCACGUCUACUUAGGCUAUGUACUUCCGGUUUGCUUGUCCAAUGGUUUACAAAGUCUUACAGUAAGGACCGAUCAGUUAAUAUGCAUCAGUAACUGUGCUUGAGCAGUUAAGGCUUCGCAGACAAUCUUCCUGCUAGCCGAUUUAUCCUAAUAUCUUACUCAAUUGCAGAGAUACAUGGGAUACAUAGCAUUGUAUCUCCACAACACAUUGCUAGUUAUUAACUUUCGGUAACUUCAAGCAUGUACAGUAGUGUUUCUUACAGUUGUCUAAUAGCUAGUCAUUCUGCAUAGGGAAUGAGUUAUGCCUGUCUCAGUCUCUUUUACCAAAUGUAAGUAUCUCACUUUCACAGCUUUUUCUACAUUCCAAACUAUCUGGAUAGGUUUAUCGCCAAAGAUCAUUUCUUUCCCAGUUCAAUCUGCUGCCUUUCUCCUUCCUCUACCUAUAAAAAAAAGUACUCUUGUGAUUGUUUUCUGACGUG